This 253-nucleotide ribosomal RNA is filed under the name uncultured bacterium. Its description in RNAcentral is "partial 16S ribosomal RNA". It matches the Rfam family "Bacterial small subunit ribosomal RNA", at positions 524 to 776 of the family's 1533-position model. The record is from RNAcentral.
UACGUAGGGCGCAAGCGUUAAUCGGAAUUACUGGGCGUAAAGCGUGCGCAGGCGGUUGUGUAAGACAGAUGUGAAAUCCCCGGGCUCAACCUGGGAACUGCAUUUGUGACUGCACGGCUGGAGUGCGGCAGAGGGGGAUGGAAUUCCGCGUGUAGCAGUGAAAUGCGUAGAUAUGCGGAGGAACACCGAUGGCGAAGGCAAUCCCCUGGGCCUGCACUGACGCUCAUGCACGAAAGCGUGGGGAGCAAACAGG